UCAUCAAAGAACACGGAGCUGCCCCAUGGAGAAUCAUAUUCCACCUAAGAAAUUCUGCAACAAAAUAGAACACUUUUUCCUAAAGAAGAACAUUUCAGUGUAUGUUAUGGUCACUAUCUCAUUUGUGCUCCCACCACUCACUUGACUAGGAGUAGAUGGUUCUUGGCCCCUUGUUGCUUUCUGCAGGCAGAGUUGUGAGGCCAAAACAGGAGCAAUACACCUUGAGAACUAAACUUUCUCUUUGCAGGUAAGACAGUUAAGAAUAAUUUUCCUAGAAAUGGUAGCACUGUGAGGUGGGAAUGGGAAAG
Molecule: long non-coding RNA, 308 nt
Filed under: Mus spicilegus (steppe mouse)
Lineage: Eukaryota; Metazoa; Chordata; Mammalia; Rodentia; Muridae
Description: lncRNA (ENSMSIG00000004485.1)
Source: RNAcentral